AUUAAACGCUGGCGGCAUGCCUUACACAUGCAAGUCGAACGGCAGCACGGGGCAACCUGGUGGCGAGUGGCGAACGGGUGAGUAAAGCAUCGGAACGUGCCCUGGAGUGGGGGAUAACGUAGCGAAAGUUACGCUAAUACCGCAUAUUCUGUGAGCAGGAAAGCAGGGGAUCGCAAGACCUUGCGCUCUGGGAGCGGCCGAUGUCGGAUUAGCUAGUUGGUGGGUAAAGGCCUACCAAGGCGACGAUCCGUAGCGGGUCUGAGAGGAUGAUCCGCCACACUGGGACUGAGACACGGCCCAGACUCCUACGGGAGGCAGCAGUGGGGAAUUUUGGACAAUGGGCGCAAGCCUGAUCCAGCCAUGCCGCGUGAGUGAAGAAGGCCU
RNAcentral lists this ribosomal RNA (384 nucleotides) under uncultured bacterium. RNAcentral's name for it is "bacterial SSU rRNA". It matches the Rfam family "Bacterial small subunit ribosomal RNA", at positions 29 to 417 of the family's 1533-position model. The record is from RNAcentral.